This 301-nucleotide unclassified non-coding RNA is filed under the name Ascomycota sp. RNAcentral's name for it is "partial contains 5.8S ribosomal RNA, internal transcribed spacer 2, and large subunit ribosomal RNA". The stretch from base 1 to 71 matches the Rfam family "5.8S ribosomal RNA", at positions 84 to 154 of the family's 154-position model. Lineage: Eukaryota; Fungi; Ascomycota. The record is from RNAcentral.
GUGAAUCAUCGAAUCUUUGAACGCACAUUGCGCCUCCUGGUAUUCCGGGAGGCAUGCCUGUUCGAGCGUCAUCAAGAAAACCUCAAGCGUAUUUUUCGCUUGGUCUUGGAGCGUGAGGUGCCGCUGGCGCGGCCCUCUGCUUCGAAAUGCAAUGGCGGAAAGUCUAAGGUGCCCCGGCGUAGUAAGUUCAUCUUUCGCUCGGUCCCGUAGGCGUUCCCGCCCUCAAAUCCCCACUAUUUUAAGUUGACCUCGGAUCAGGUAGGGAUACCCGCUGAACUUAAGCAUAUCAAUAAGCGGAGGA